GUUUUACUUCUGCGCACAUCCCUCCAGCUUGAGUAAACAGCAGAGGAUGUGACUGAGAGCACAUACGGUACCUCAUCAACGCCUCUUCUCCGCUUCAGGUUCUCUUCUGCCUUCCCCAGAGGUGAAGCCAAAGGCCAUGCAGAAGCUUCAGCAUCUUCCAGUCCUCAGCAGUCCGCACUCUAGACAAGGGAGAAGAUGAACCACAAAGUGUUUUCCUGGUGAGAUCAUCCUAGCUACAGUGAUGCAGGGCUUUGUAUAGACAAGCAGAGGAAUGGGUAAAUAGAGAAGACUUCUCCUCUCCUGCGUCAGUGAAGAGAAAAACGUCUGUCUGAUGAUUUGAAGUGAAGCUGGCAUGUUUUGGCCCGAUCUGCGGAAGACAUUCAAGUUUCACUUCGCUGUGAGAACUUUGCCUGUGGUCCAAGUUUGCCGUCAUUUACAACAUCAUGUAAUUUUUGAUGCAAAGCUUUUGCUCACAUGUGCUGAAGCGCAGAAAAAUUUAAUUUGAUUUUUCUUCUGCAACUGCAGCCCUGGCUGCGGAAAUGGAGAGUGUGAGAACUGGGGGAGUCCAGGACUUUGGUUUUGACAUUGCAUGUGCCUGGCUGUGGACCAGAAAGGAGACACUCUCACUUUUCCUGUCUCAACCCCUUGUAUAUGGCAACACAUUGCAGCCUGCAGAGAGGAGGAAGCUGCUGGUUUAGGUUUCCUUCCAGGUGCGUCCUUUUGCAGCAUGACGCAUUUUGUGUUCAUC
Molecule: long non-coding RNA, 748 nt
Organism: Chroicocephalus ridibundus (black-headed gull)
Lineage: Eukaryota; Metazoa; Chordata; Aves; Charadriiformes; Laridae
Exons: 3
Source: RefSeq, a predicted model, not a curated record